This is a non-coding RNA of Pelobates cultripes (western spadefoot toad), 217 nucleotides long. Lineage: Eukaryota; Metazoa; Chordata; Amphibia; Anura; Pelobatidae. The record is from the annotation of a GenBank genome assembly.
AAGAAUCUCUGAGAAAACAUUUCUACAUACCAAGAUUGUCCAACUUGACUCAGGUCAUUGUACGUAGAUGUGUAACGUGUGCUAAAAAUAAUGCAAGACAAGGACCAGUAAAGCCACCAGGAGUCCAGUUUAUGGGGGGACUUCCCAUGUCCGAUUUACAAAUUGACUAUACAGUGAUGCCUAAAUCGGGUGGACAUCGCUACCCGCUGGUAGUGGU